AUCGUAAAGAAAAAUUAAUUUUGAUCUAGCACUUUUUUGCAUCAUCUGCGCAGCCUUGCCGGGCACUUUGCAUUCCACCUGGAGUGGUCCAGCUGUACUCAAGGAAUAAUUCCGGCAUAUUUCAAGUAUGCCUGUGAAAUAAUUGUCGUAAUGACAAAUUAAUAAAUAAACAGCAUAUAGCAAUAGGGCUUUCCAAAUCUAAAUAUAUAGGGGAUAAGCAGGAAUCGAAGCGUUCAAGGAAUGGAAAUUUAUCACAGAUGGAUGCAAGUCAUACGUUUUCUAAUCUUUUCAAAAGAAAACUUAAAAGUCAAUGCUCGUAGAUUGCAAAAGAAUAUAUAAUGUAUUAAAUAUAUUA
Long non-coding RNA from Drosophila novamexicana, 355 nucleotides. RefSeq lists it as uncharacterized. NCBI's taxonomy places the organism in Eukaryota, Metazoa, Arthropoda, Insecta, Diptera, Drosophilidae. The transcript is spliced from 2 exons. The record is from RefSeq and is a predicted model, not a curated record.